This 311-nucleotide long non-coding RNA is filed under the name Carica papaya (papaya). Its description in RNAcentral is "long non-coding RNA (CPAP_LNC006743)". Lineage: Eukaryota; Viridiplantae; Streptophyta; Magnoliopsida; Brassicales; Caricaceae. The record is from RNAcentral.
AAUAUACAACAUGUUCCUAAAUAAUGCACUAAUCUUGUGUUAGUAAAAAAAAUAUCACAAGACUUGAAUUGCAAAGUAAAAUUUCGUUCUUUUUACUGUAACUUUUAGGAUUAGCAAUUCGAGAAGAAUGAUUAGACAUGCUGAUACCAAAUAAGGAAUUUACUAUUUAGAUACAUUUGAGAGAACUUUUUCAGUCAUUACCACCAAUACCAUACACAAAAUUUGUUUCUACGAUAAAAGAGUUAAGACACCCAUCAUUCUUUAUUUUCAAGGUUAUAUUUCCUUUAUUGUUUACAAAUUCAAAAUAUGAA